RNAcentral lists this ribosomal RNA (442 nucleotides) under uncultured bacterium. RNAcentral describes it as "partial 16S ribosomal RNA". It matches the Rfam family "Bacterial small subunit ribosomal RNA", at positions 338 to 795 of the family's 1533-position model. The record is from RNAcentral.
CCUACGUGAGGCAGCAGUAGGGACUCUUUCACAAUGGGCGAAAGCCUGAUGGAGCAACGCCGCGUUCAGGAUGAAGGCCUUCGGGUUGUAAACUGCUUUUAUAAGCGAGAAAUAUGAUGGUAACUUAUGAAUAAGGAUCGGCUAACUACGUGCCAGCAGCCGCGGUCAUACGUAGGAUCCGAGCAUUAUCCGGAGUGACUGGGUGUAAAGAGUUGCGUAGGUGGCAUAAUAAGUAGCUAGUGAAAUCGGGUGGCUCAACCAUUCAGACUAUUCGCUAAACUGUUAAGCGCGAGAACGUUAGGGGUAACUGGAAUUUCUAGUGUAGGAGUGAAAUGCGUAGAUAUUAGAAGGAACACCAAUGGCGUAGGCAGGUUGCUGGGACGGUUCUGACACUAAGGCACGAAAGCGUAGGGAGCAAACGGGAUUAGAUACCCUGGUAGUC